AUUGAACGCUGGCGGCAUGCUUUACACAUGCAAGUCGAACGGUAACAGCACUUCGGUGGCUGACGAGUGGCGAACGGGUGAGUAAUACAUCGGAACGUGCCUAGUAGUGGGGGAUAACUACUCGAAAGAGUAGCUAAUACCGCAUGAGAUCUAAGGAUGAAAGCAGGGGACCUUCGGGCCUUGCGCUACUAGAGCGGCUGAUGGCAGAUUGGGUAGUUGGUGGGAUAAAAGCUUACCAAGCCGACGAUCUGUAGCUGGUCUGAGGGGACGACCAGCCACAGUGGGACUGAAAAACGGCCCAGACACUUAGGGAAGGCAGAGGGGGGGAAUUUGGACAAUGGGCGCAAGCCUGAUCCAGCAAUGCCGCGUGCAGGAUGAAGGCCUUCGGGUUGUAAACUGCUUUUGUACGGAACGAAAAGCCCUCUUCUAAUACAGGAGGGUCAUGACGGUACCGUAAGAAUAAGCACCGGCUAACUACGUG
Molecule: ribosomal RNA, 481 nt
Filed under: uncultured bacterium
Lineage: Bacteria
Description: partial 16S ribosomal RNA
Rfam family: Bacterial small subunit ribosomal RNA
Source: RNAcentral